CUUGAAGAGGAAAAAAGUUACAGCUGUUGAGAGUUUUUUCUUUCUUCCUGGAUGUGAAGAGUAGGACACAAUUCAUGGCAGCAGGGCUGAUAGGAGUUGCGGCCCAAAACAUCUGGAGCGCAUUAGCUUUGAAAGAGCUGGCAAUUUGGGGCCAGAUUGUUUUAAGGAUCACCUGCAUCCACACGAACCUACCCCAGCUUUAAGAUCAGCAUUGGAGACUCUGCUCAUUGACCCACAUUGAAGCAGAGUUAGAUUGGGAGGCAAGAAGGACAGAGCCUUCUCAGCAGUGGCCCCUGCAUGAUGGAACUCCCUCCCCAAGGAUGUGUGGGUAGCCAUAAGUCGGGAUCAACUUGAAGACAAUCUAUUUCCAUUUCCAUGUGGCCACAGCUGAAACAACUCUGUGAACAGUUCUGGCCACCACAUCCCAAAAAGGAUAUCACUGAGCAUGAAAAGGUGCAGAGCUUGGAGCAUCUUCCCUACAAGGAAAGAAUUUCCAAUGAAUCAUCCAAUGAAGUUGACUGCCAAGAAGUAUUUCUUCACAUAAUGUAUAAUCAACAAGAUAGAGUGAUGGCCACUGACUCAGGUGGCUUUGAAAAAAGAUUAGACAAAUUCAUUGAGAAUAGUUUAUCAAUGGCUAAUACCUCUAGAUCAGUUCAAGGGCCACAUUCCCUCAUGUGAAACCUUCUGACAGGCACAUGUCAGUGGUGGGUGUGGACCAGAGGCAAAAAGGGAUGAAGCAACAGAUGUGACUCUUACUUUUAUACAAUAUGCUACAUUCUUUGUUAAUGAUUGUAAUGUUUGUAAUUUGAUCUUAGCUUAUCCAGUUUUUUAGAUUGUGAAAUUUGAUUUUAG
Rhineura floridana is the source of this 852-nucleotide long non-coding RNA. RefSeq lists it as uncharacterized. The record is from RefSeq and is a predicted model, not a curated record. NCBI's taxonomy places the organism in Eukaryota, Metazoa, Chordata, Lepidosauria, Squamata, Rhineuridae. The transcript has 4 exons.